GACGAACGCUGGCGGCGUGCUUAACACAUGCAAGUCGAACGGAAAGGCCCUGCUUUUGUGUGGUUCUCGAGUGGCGAACGGGUGAGUAACACGUGAGUAACCUGCCCUUGACUUUGGGAUAACUUCAGGAAACUGGGGCUAAUACCGGAUAGGAUCUCCUGCUGCAUGGUGUUGGUUGGAAAGUUUCGGCGGUUGGGGAUGGACUCGCGGCUUAUCAGCUUGUUGGUGGGGUAGUGGCUUACCAAGGCUUUGACGGGUAGCCGGCCUGAGAGGGUGACCGGGCACAUUGGGACUGAGAUACGGCCCAGACUCCUACGGGAGGCAGCAGUGGGGAAUAUUGCACAAUGGGCGGAAGCCUGAUGCAGCAACGCCGCGUGCGGGAUGACGGCCUUCGGGUUGUAAACCGAUUUCGCCUGUGACGAAGAGUGCGUGACGGUAAUGGGUAAAGAAGCACCGGCUAACUACGUG
RNAcentral lists this ribosomal RNA (468 nucleotides) under uncultured bacterium. RNAcentral describes it as "partial 16S ribosomal RNA". It matches the Rfam family "Bacterial small subunit ribosomal RNA", at positions 28 to 507 of the family's 1533-position model. The record is from RNAcentral.